AAUACUUGUCGCUUUGAGUUUUUGUUUGUAAUUUUUGAUCAUUCGUCUUAUUCAAAAAAUUAUGAAAUUAUUAUUUAUUUUGUUGGUGACUUGCUUUAUUAUCAAAAGCACUUUAAGUAUGACUUAUCCUUUUUUACAUUUGCAUUAAUUUUUCAAAUAAGACGAAUGGUCAAACAUUACAAGAAAAAAGUGAAAACGGCCACUAAU
This is a microRNA precursor of Oryza sativa Japonica Group (Japanese rice), 207 nucleotides long. It matches the Rfam family "MIR812 microRNA precursor family". The record is from Rfam. Lineage: Eukaryota; Viridiplantae; Streptophyta; Magnoliopsida; Poales; Poaceae.